UACAGAGGGUGCGAGCGUUAAUCGGAAUUAUUGGGCGUAAAGGGUGCGUAGGCGGAUACACAAGUGCUAGGUGAAAGACCCGGGCUUAACCUGGGGAGGUCCUAUCAGACUGUGUGUCUAGAAUGUGGUAGAGGAAGGUGGAAUUCCUGGUGUAGCGGUGAAAUGCGUAGAUAUCAGGAAGAACAUCGAUGGCGAAGGCAACCUUCUGGGCCAUUAUUGGCGCUGAGGCACGAAAGCGUGGGGAGCGAACAGG
RNAcentral lists this ribosomal RNA (253 nucleotides) under uncultured bacterium. RNAcentral describes it as "partial 16S ribosomal RNA". It matches the Rfam family "Bacterial small subunit ribosomal RNA", at positions 524 to 776 of the family's 1533-position model. The record is from RNAcentral.